Chiloscyllium plagiosum (whitespotted bambooshark) is the source of this 2591-nucleotide long non-coding RNA. RefSeq lists it as uncharacterized. NCBI's taxonomy places the organism in Eukaryota, Metazoa, Chordata, Chondrichthyes, Orectolobiformes, Hemiscylliidae. The record is from RefSeq and is a predicted model, not a curated record.
GGAGGGGUGGGGGGAGAUGUGGCAGAUACGCAAGGAGAAAAGGUGUUAUGGGAAGUAAACUUGAUACCUCCUGGAGGCACAGAGAGAGGGGCAGCAGGUCUAUUUUGGGGUCCAUGAUCCACAUGGACCUCCUCCCACUUUACCUUCAUCUCACCUUUAUCAACAAAUCCAUCAAUUCCUUUCUCCCACAUGCACACACAUCCAACUUCCUCAGUUCACCACAACCACUCACCGUGGGAGCGAGUUCUUCAUUCUCACCACUCUCUGAGUAAAGAAUCACCUCUUGGAUUUAAUCGUGACUCCCUUACAUUUUAUGGCUGGUAUUUCUGGACUUCCCCACAAAUCGAAAUAUCUUCUCUACAUGUCAACCCUGGGGAACCCCCUUCAGAGUUUGCUCAGCCUAUUUGGAGCCACCCGGGGUACUGAGGCUAUAACAAGAGUGCGCUGCUCAGCAUUUGAGGACACUGUGGAGACGGACCAAGGGAGCUGCAUGCAUUCGAAUAAUUCAUCUGCCCAUUUACACUCUGCUGAACUGGGAUUUCCAUACAAGAGCUGGAUGGUCUAAAGGCGGUGUUGGUCCUGAUAAACUAGGUGUUACCUGCGUCAUCAGAAUUCUCUGGGUAAAAUUAAAUAUCAAUUUGAACCUUGCACAGGAAGAUCAUUGGAUUAUUGAAUGAUUCAGAAUGAAAGGUGUCCACUUGGCCUGUCAUGACUAUGCCAGCUCUUUGAAAGAGCUAUCUAAUUAAUCCCACUUCCCUGGCCUUUUCCUAAAGUCCCUUCAAAUGGUUACUGUUCAAACCUUUUUCCAACUCCUCUUUGUUGUUAAACCUGCUUCCACUACCUUUCAAGGCAGUGCUUUCCUCAUCACUGUAACUUGCUGAGUUAAACAAUUUUUCUUCCACUCCCUUUCUGUUUUGUGUACCCAUUGUCUUAAACCUGUGUCCUCCUGCCCUUACUGCUAAUUAUUUACCCUGUUCAAUUUUAAGGUAAAGUAUGAAUGCCCAUUCAAAAAAAAAAGCAAAACAGGGGCUAAUACAAGGCUCGACAAUGGGUCUUUUAUUGAAGAACACCCUGCCCAGUCCUCCCUCGCCCUCUUCUCCCCACGUUUGGUCUGAACUGCCCAGUAAUCUAGUGUCAGGCUAUGGUCAGACCUGAAACCUGGCUCAGGUUCCUCUCUUCAGCUGGCAGAGACUGGAUGGACCAUAAAAUGAAUGGGACACUUUGCCGUUUUGCUGUAGGCCCUCAGGGCUCCUAGAAGAGCGAUUGGAGAGAGCCCUUGUCUGAUAAUUUACCAACAGUGUGCAAGGUGAUUUCCCCCUUACGUGAUGUCACUUCAAGGAGGCAGGCACUUUAACUUCCAACCUAUUCUCAAGCAAAUUCGAUUGUUCGCUAAAUGUAUCUUACCUCAUUCUCCUGCUCAUCGCUGCAAGCACACCUCAAGGAGCAAGGAAUGUCUGUCCUGGAUUUGAGACGGUAAACAGAUUGAGGAGAAAUACCGAGACAGUAUUCAGUCUAGAUUUGCACAGGCCUCAUGCCGAUACUUCUCUUUUUAGUUGAGCUGACAUUUCAUUGGCAAGGAAUCCUCUCAUGGGUCAAUGCAAAUUGUAUUUGGCACCAAUCAUGAACAAAGCACAGCUGGUGAUUACUGAUCAAUGUUACACACUGGCCUCCUUAGCAACCUGCUGAAUAUUUUUACUAAAGAGUAAACGUGAAUGAUGUACUUCACAAUGCUGCUUGGAAUGUACAGGGUGACUUUUGUAUCUCCAAGAACUGUCCAUGUAAAAAGGCAGAUGAUGCAGCUGCUAUCCCAUGAACACAACGAAGGCACGAAACACUACUGAAAAUGACUGUUUGUAAACUUGAGUCAGUACUACAGGGUAGGCUGUCCAACAGCAGCUACUUCAAGUUGCAUGUAGUAAACACUGGGUAAUUUAUUAGAUUUGCUUCCUGCUUGUUCGUAUAUUUAUGCAGAAAAUGAGAGUUGAUAUGAGGACCCUUAAUGCUUUUUGUAAAAGUACAAAGAUGUUCCACAAUUGUCUUUUGAUUUUAUGAGAAUUUGAUUUCAUUACCGUGUUAAACUGUAAAGGCUUCACAGUGACCAAUGCAGCCUGUUAGAAGAUAAGGAAAUGCUGCAAGUGAACAGCUUUUGAUGAGACCAUUUCUCCUUCAGUGAUGAAAUCUAAUUUCUUUUUAAGGAGAUAGCACAUUUUUGCCAAUGAUUGCAUUAUUUUGGCAACAUUCCCAAAAUAACUAUAUAGUCCUGGCAACUUCCACGUUUUGCUAAUCCGGGUGGCUGUCUGUUCCCUGACUGUACUUGUGCCAGGAAUGACGUGGAAUGCCAUCAAAGACUGUUUGGAAAUCUGAAUAUAUUACAUCUACUGCAUCAUCCUCACCUAUUCUUUCUGUUACUGUUAUCAAAGGCAUCAAGAUAAUUAGUCUGUAGCUGAAUUCUACCCCUCCCAUCAGCAUCCUAGUGGGUUACCAUUGGCCAGAAUCUGAACUAGCUUUAUAAAAACUGGAAUAAAAGCAAAAUAUUGCCAAUGCUGAAAAUCAGAAAUAAACACAAUUAAUGCUGGAGAAACACAGCAAGU